GUAGCUAGAUAUAAGGAAGUUUGGGAGGGAAGGUCCUAGCAGUUGGAGGAUCAGGAGAGGUCUCCUGUAGAUGGGAAUCCUUGAGCUCAAUGAAGAAAGAGGGGGCUUCUAGGAGGCAGAAGUGAGGAAAGAAUGUCAUUGAUAACCUCCCUGGCCCUCUCAUCUGUAAUCUCACUGUGCCUCCAUUUACUUAUGUGUAAAAUGAGGAGUUUGGACUAAAUAACUGUUGAGAUCCUCUUCCAGGUCUAAAAAUGUGAACUAAUGAUCUUUUAUAGCUAGAAGACCAAGUUAUGGUAGGGACUCCUUUGGGGUAUGUUUAUAUUUGAUGUCUACUGAGUUUCCUUUCAACUCUCAGAGAAAGGCUGCUGGACCUGGAGGUAGAUGGCCUGGGUUCAGAUCUUGAUUUUCCUCCUUACUAUCGACAUGAUAUUGGGCAAGUCACUUCCUUUGUCUGGGACCUGUAAAAUGAGAUGAUUGGGCUAGAUGAUCUCAAAGGUUCUUCCAUCUUAAAAUCUGGGAUGCUCUUGUCUCCGUGAAGUAUUUUUAACAGCUGGUGCCUAUUUCACUCCAUGGAGACUGGCAGUUCUUUGGUUAAAUCCCCACUUCAUAUUUUUUCUUUUUCUCCCCAGUGAAUACAGGUAAAGCAUCCCUAGUUAGUUUUGGCCUCUCUUUGCAUUUCAAUGAUUACCCCAGUCUAGCUGCCAAAACCCUGCUAUGCUAUUAAGGCAGGCAGCCUGCUCACACAAUCGAUCCUCAUCAAAAAUUCUGAAAAAUAACUAAAAUAAAAAGAUUUGGGGCCCAGUUUUCAAAGAGAUUCAGACUGACCUCUAGCAGUCUCUCCUUUCCUGAUGUUUUCAUUUUGUUAUUUGUUUUUUCCCUAUUUUUUUCCUUUGAAAAAUAUAUUUUUUUCCUUUUUUGCACCUGCAGCCCUAUAAGGCAGCUCCCUCCCAAAUCCACUUGCCUUGUUCUGGGAAAGGAGUAUGGUUCCCUUUAAAAUUCAGCUCAGAAUCAUGGUAUUGAAAUAUUGAAAGAGGGUGGGGUAUAGAGCCAGUGGAAACUAAUUAUAGAAAUAUCGGGUGGGAUAAUUGCCACCCCAUGGCUCAUUCAGAAGUCCCUCUGCCAGGCAGCCAUCCACAUUUAGACCUCUCAUCGGAGUGGGGAAGGUACCUCCUGAAGUGGGAGUAGGCCAGGUCAGCUUCUGGCCAAUGCUGCCUACAUCUGCUGUUUGGGAAGCAUGUUUCAAGCAUAUGCUUCUCUUCUAAUACCUGCCAAAAACACAAUGGUUGGCCUAGUCCCUUCCCUUCUUGGGGUAAUGUCUCAGCUUCCCCAGCAAAGAACAGAAUGGGUAAAGUCAUUCACAUGGAGCCAGGGAGAUCAGAAUUCAAAUCCUACCUUAGCACUUAUUGGCUGUGUGAUUCUGGGCAAAUUAUCUUUGGCUCCCUGCCUCAGUUUCCUCCUCCUUAGGAUGGAGAUCAUAAUAGCACCUGUUACAGAAUUGUAUAGCUAUAGAAAUGUUUCCUACCAUAAGUUUUUACUUAUGAAGUUCUUCGCAUCUGAGCUCUCUAGAAAGUGUAGCUGAGAGGCAGAGCUGGAUUCUGAAUCCUUGAAUUUAGUCUUAAGUUCAGCAAUGAAAUGGCUCCUCAAACUGGAAAAGUAGCAUCAUCCCUUUUUUGCCCUAGUUUCCUCCUCUGUAAAAUGAGGGACUCGGAUGAGAUGAUGCUAAUCAAAAUAACACCUUUUUAUGACAAUUUAAUAAAGGUUUACAAAGCACUGGAUUUCCAGUAAUCAUGUAAGAAGUAAGUGCUGCAAAUAUGAUGUCGCUGAAGUGCAAAGGAAAUGAAGUAGCAUUGGUAGAACUAGGAUUUGAACUCAGUUCUGCUGACUCCAUAUUUUAACGUUUCCUCCACCUCUAAUAUUCUGUCCCUUUUUGUUCUUCUGUUUUGGGGGUCUUUGUUCUAAGUCGCAGAUUUUAAACUUUCUUACAUCCUGUGUUACUGUGUGGAGUAACUUGUUGGAAGGAGUCAAGCAGGCAAGCCUCUGUUAUGUUGGGCAGUAUGGUGCCUCAGGACAGAGGCUGGAUGAAAGCAGACUGGGUCAGAAUAACUCAGCAUUGCCUUACUGCCUGGGUGAUUCUGGGAAAAUCACAUGAGCUCUCUGAGUCUCUGUUUUCUCAUUUGUAAGAGGAUGGGCUUGCAAUCUGAGAUUGAGAGGUGAAAGGGACCUUUGGGGGAUCACCUGAUUCAACUCCAUCAUUUUAUAGAUGAGACAGAUAAGCCCAAGGAGGUUGAAUUGUCUUCCUUAUAGUCCUAUAGACAGUAAGUAGUUGUGGCAUGAUUCACACCCAGGUCUUUGUGAACUCUAACCUUUUUAGUGGCUAUUCCACCAUCUUGCUUGGUCUUCAGUUUAGUACCUAUACAUUCAUCUUCCAUGGGAGUAGCUAUUUGGUUGCUCUCCAUCUAGUUGAUAUUAAAGGCAAAAAGAAUGACUUAACAAGGGUAAAGAACCUUGUCCCAUAGAGAGUAAAGACUGCCAUUACUGGUGGGUGAUUUCCACCAUCCCCCUCCCCAUUGUGGUGUCAUAGACAUUUCCUUGGCCAUGGACUGCUGUUGGAGCUGGAAGGCCAGUCCAUUGUGACUUCCUUCUUAGCCCUCUAAGCACAGGGGACAAAAUCCUCCUUUUUCCAGAUGUGCACAUUCUGGGGGCAGACUUUGAAUAGAGUUGCAUGUGUCUUCUUGGCUUAGACAAAAGCAAAGAAAUCUUAAUUGGAGUACAAAAACAUGCAACUUGGGUGCUUGGUGAUGAGAUGGAUUGAGUCUUGGGACCCUCAGAAGACAUGCUCAGCCAUGGCUUUGGCUGGAUUUUCAGCAAAGUGUUCACGGCUUGUGGGUGCCUGGAAGAGGGAUCAGGGUGAAGCUACUCUGAUUGAAAGGGGAUUUUUCCACUCCCAUCUGACUCCUGCAAAGACAAUAAGGAUGGAAGUGCUUCAGCGAAUUGGAGGCAGUCAUCAUAUCCAGCAACCAGCUGCCUAACCACAGAUACCUUAUCGAUCCCAUCUCUUUGGCCAGGAAGCUUCAAGCUACAAAAUUGGAUACAUAAUAAUUGAGAAAAUAAAGGAUGUAUGAACUAA
Long non-coding RNA from Monodelphis domestica (gray short-tailed opossum), 3127 nucleotides. RefSeq lists it as uncharacterized. The record is from RefSeq and is a predicted model, not a curated record. NCBI's taxonomy places the organism in Eukaryota, Metazoa, Chordata, Mammalia, Didelphimorphia, Didelphidae.